CACCAUCAUUACAAGUAAAGCUUAGUACAUGCGUGUCGAAAUGUAGUAGGGAACAUAAGAGGCAAAGGGAUAGGGAAAGAUAUGCCGCGAUGACUGUUGAACAAAAGAAUGAGAAAAAUAGGAAGCGUCGUGAAGCGCGCCAAAGGAAUAAAGGACUACCGAUAAAAACACAAUCAUCCAUAGAUAGCUUUCCAGAUGACUGUAGCACCAUUGAUUUCAGAAUUUUGUCAACACAAGGCAUUGCAGGUGGAGACGAACAAGUAAACGUGGAUCUAGAUGAUGAUAGCGAUUGGUUGCAUAGAAAUGAGACAUUCUAGGCAAACAACAUUGUCGCAAGUAAUGACCUUCUAACAACAGUUAGAGAUUUCUAGCAUGGCUGACACAAGUAACCAUGGAUCCCUCAUUGAUGAAUGGUUGCCGACCCUACACCAAGCCCAAAGAACUCUCAUGUCAUGCUGAAUGAAAAAUUCAGCUCUCGCUCAAUAUCUGGUCUUUUUAGUGAACAUGGAACCAAUAAGCCCCACGAU
This 527-nucleotide unclassified non-coding RNA is filed under the name Zea mays. RNAcentral describes it as "misc RNA Zm00001eb179500". Lineage: Eukaryota; Viridiplantae; Streptophyta; Magnoliopsida; Poales; Poaceae. The record is from RNAcentral.